GUUGGCCUCGGAUCAGGUGGGGAUACCCGCUGAACUUAAGCAUAUCAAUAAGCGGAGGAAAAGAAACCAACAGGGAUUGCCUCAGUAACGGCGAGUGAAGCGGCAACAGCUCAAAUUUGAAAUCUGGCGCAAGCCCGAGUUGUAAUUUGCAGAGGAUGUUUCGGGUGAAGCCACGGUCCAAGUCCCUUGGAACAGGACGUCAUAGAGGGUGAGAACCCCGUACCUGGCCGUCGGUGCCCCCCGCUGUGAAACUCCUUCGACGAGUCGAGUUGUUUGGGAAUGCAGCUCUAAAUUGGUGGUAAAUUCCAUCUAAAGCUAAAUACCGGCCAGAGACCGAUAGCGCACAAGUAGAGUGAUCGAAAGAUGAAAAGCACUUUGAAAAGAGAGUUAAAAAGUACGUGAAAUUGUUGAAAGGGAAGCGCUUGCGGCCAGACUUGCCCGCGGUUGCUCAGCCCGCCCUUUGGCGGGUGCACUCUUCCGCGGUCAGGCCAGCAUCGGUUUGGGCGGCCGGAUAAAGGCGUUGGGAACGUAGCCUCCCCUCGGGGAGGUGUUAUAGCCCGGCGCGCAAUGCGACCAGCCCGGACCGAGGUUCGCGCUCUGCUAGGAUGCUGGCGUAAUGGCCGUAAGCGGCCCGUCUUGAAACACGGACCAAGGAGUCUAACAUCUAUGCGAGUGUUUGGGUGUCAAACCCGUGCGCGUAAUGAAAGUGAACGGAGGUGGGAACCGCAAGGUGCACCAUCGACCGAUCCUGAUGUCUUCGGAAGGAUUUGAGUAAGAGCAUAGCUGUUGGGACCCGAAAGAUGGUGAACUAUGCGUGAAUAGGGUGAAGCCAGAGGAAACUCUGGUGGAGGCUCGCAGCGGUUCUGACGUGCAAAUCGAUCGUCAAAUUUGCGUAUAGGGGCGAAAGACUAAUCGAACCAUU
RNAcentral lists this ribosomal RNA (922 nucleotides) under Fusicladium phillyreae. Its description in RNAcentral is "eukaryotic LSU rRNA". It matches the Rfam family "Eukaryotic large subunit ribosomal RNA", at positions 1 to 944 of the family's 3401-position model. Lineage: Eukaryota; Fungi; Ascomycota; Dothideomycetes; Venturiales; Sympoventuriaceae. The record is from RNAcentral.